UCUUUGUUUAGGCUCAGUGCCAGAAGAGACGUCACCAGUGCACACUGUACUUCUCUAAACCUCUUAACCUCAGACACUUCAACAUCAGACAUCAGAGCUGCACCGGAGAUUCACUAGAUUCAGAUCAUCACAAGAUUUUGCUGUAUAAAUGAAUGGCAGAACAUCAGUGGAGCGUCACAAACAACAUGAGCAGCAAAGAGAACAAGAGUCAAUCUACUGAAGCAGGAGAGAAACAGAGCAAGACACGAGUCAGACUGAACAGCUCUGG
Molecule: long non-coding RNA, 268 nt
Organism: Cyprinus carpio (common carp)
Lineage: Eukaryota; Metazoa; Chordata; Actinopteri; Cypriniformes; Cyprinidae
Exons: 2
Source: RefSeq, a predicted model, not a curated record